This 76-nucleotide transfer RNA is filed under the name Planctomycetota bacterium. Its description in RNAcentral is "Planctomycetes bacterium tRNA-Thr". It matches the Rfam family "tRNA". Rfam says of the family: Transfer RNA (tRNA) molecules are approximately 80 nucleotides in length. Their secondary structure includes four short double-helical elements and three loops (D, anti-codon, and T loops). Further hydrogen bonds mediate the characteristic L-shaped molecular structure. tRNAs have two regions of fundamental functional importance: the anti-codon, which is responsible for specific mRNA codon recognition, and the 3' end, to which the tRNAs corresponding amino acid is attached (by aminoacyl-tRNA synthetases). tRNAs cope with the degeneracy of the genetic code in two manners: having more than one tRNA (with a specific anti-codon) for a particular amino acid; and 'wobble' base-pairing, i.e. permitting non-standard base-pairing at the 3rd anti-codon position. Lineage: Bacteria; Pseudomonadati; Planctomycetota. The record is from RNAcentral.
GCUAGCGUAGCUCAGUUGGUAGAGCUCCGGUUUUGUAAACCGGUGGUCAAGGGUUCAAGUCCCUUCGCUAGCUCCA